Molecule: long non-coding RNA, 215 nt
Organism: Oncorhynchus tshawytscha (Chinook salmon)
Lineage: Eukaryota; Metazoa; Chordata; Actinopteri; Salmoniformes; Salmonidae
Exons: 3
Source: RefSeq, a predicted model, not a curated record
GGGGGGCGUGUCCACCGAGACAGAGAGGAACUCACAGAACCCUGCCCUGGAAUGGAACAUGGCCAGCAGUAUCAGGAGACACCAGGAGAGGAGAGCCAUCCUCACCCCCAUCCUGACGGACUUCUCUGUCAGAGUGACAGCAGCACCUGCCAUCAUAUUCAGCACACCCAGAUCCCCUGACAACAGACAAGUGGAGGAGGUGCUGGUGUGUGGUC